Molecule: transfer RNA, 71 nt
Filed under: Daphnia magna
Lineage: Eukaryota; Metazoa; Arthropoda; Branchiopoda; Diplostraca; Daphniidae
Description: tRNA-Asp
Rfam family: tRNA
About the family: Transfer RNA (tRNA) molecules are approximately 80 nucleotides in length.
Source: RNAcentral
GCAUCGAUGGAUCAGUGGUAGAAUGCUCGCCUAUCACGCGGGCGGCCCGGGUUCGAUUCCCGGUCGAUGCA